Molecule: ribosomal RNA, 252 nt
Filed under: uncultured bacterium
Lineage: Bacteria
Description: partial 16S ribosomal RNA
Rfam family: Bacterial small subunit ribosomal RNA
Source: RNAcentral
UACGUAGGGGGCAAGCGUUGUCCGGAAUUAUUGGGCGUAAAGCGCGCGCAGGCGGUUCUUUAAGUCUGGUGUAUAAGUGCGGGGCUCAACCCCGUGAGGCACUGGAAACUGGGGAACUUGAGUGCAGAAGAGGAGAGCGGAAUUCCACGUGUAGCGGUGAAAUGCGUAGAGAUGUGGAGGAACACCAGUGGCGCAAGCGAUCCCCUGGGCUAGACCUGACGCUGAGGGACGAAAGCGUGGGGAGCAAACGGG